Molecule: ribosomal RNA, 500 nt
Filed under: uncultured bacterium
Lineage: Bacteria
Description: partial 16S ribosomal RNA
Rfam family: Bacterial small subunit ribosomal RNA
Source: RNAcentral
AUUGAACGCUGGCGGAAUGCUUUACACAUGCAAGUCGAACGGCAGCACGGACUUCGGUCUGGUGGCGAGUGGCGAACGGGUGAGUAAUGUAUCGGAACGUGCCCAGUCGUGGGGGAUAACGUAGUGAAAAUUACGCUAAUACCGCAUACGAUCUAUGGAUGAAAGCGGGGGAUCGCAAGACCUCGCGCGAUUGGAGCGGCCGAUAUCAGAUUAGGUAGUUGGUGGGGUAAAGGCCCACCAAGCCUACGAUCUGUAGCUGGUCUGAGAGGACGGGCAGCCACACUGGAACUGAGACAAGGUCCAGACUACUACGGGAGGCAGCAGUGGGGAAUUUUGGAACAUGGGCGAAAGCCUGAUCCAGACAUUCCGCGUGCCGGAUGAAGGCCCUCGGGUUGUGAACUGCUUUUGUACAGAACGAAAAGGUUUCUACUAAUACUAGGAGCUCAUGACGGUACUGUAAGAAUAAGCACCGGCUAACUACGUGCCAGCCGCCGCGGUAA